Molecule: transfer RNA, 68 nt
Filed under: Petrasma pervernicosa
Lineage: Eukaryota; Metazoa; Mollusca; Bivalvia; Solemyida; Solemyidae
Description: Solemya pervernicosa tRNA-Lys
Rfam family: tRNA
About the family: Transfer RNA (tRNA) molecules are approximately 80 nucleotides in length.
Source: RNAcentral
CAUUAAGUGGCCGAAAACAAGCAUUAGACUUUUAAUCUAACUAUGAUAUUUUAAAUUAUCCUUAAUGA